GCCACUGCUCACUCUGGCAAGACCGAGUGUGCAAACUUGCCUUUGCUCUUUUUGCUCCGAACAAACCCAGGCCACUCCCGCUGCUCAGGAGACAACCCUUGGACCUGUUUUCCUCCUAUGGUGACACUGACUUUCUUGUCUGUUUUUGAGCAGAAGAAGCAGAUACGAAACGGAGGCAGAGGAGCCAAGUUUUCUCUUCUUCUAGUUACCCAUUAGACAUCUGCAGGCCCAGGGCAAGGUCAGCAUUUCUGGCAAGUACAGCCCGUGUCCCUGUCGUGGUAAGGACAACUAUUGUUGAAGUGUUUGUAUGUGUCAAUAAUGUCUAAAAUAAAUAAAUCUUCACUUGACA
RNAcentral lists this long non-coding RNA (349 nucleotides) under Rattus norvegicus (Norway rat). Its description in RNAcentral is "long non-coding RNA NONRATT021915". Lineage: Eukaryota; Metazoa; Chordata; Mammalia; Rodentia; Muridae. The record is from RNAcentral.